CAGAGAAUAGCUUGCUAUUUUGCUGACGAGCGGCUUACGGGUGAGUAAUGCUUGGGAAUAUGCCUUUGAGUGGGGGACAACAGUUGGAAACGACUGCUAAUACCGCAUAAUGUCUACGGACCAAAGGGGGCUUCGGCUCUCGCUUAAAGAUUAGCCCAAGUGGGAUUAGCUAGUUGGUGAGGUAAUGGCUCACCAAGGCAACGAUCCCUAGCUGGUUUGAGAGGAUGAUCAGCCACACUGGAACUGAGACACGGUCCAGACUCCUACGGGAGGCAGCAGUGGGGAAUAUUGCACAAUGGGCGCAAGCCUGAUGCAGCCAUGCCGCGUGUGUGAAGAAGGCCUUCGGGUUGUAAAGCACUUUCAGUAAGGAGGAAAGGUUAGUAGUUAAUACCUGCUAGCUGUGACGUUACUUACAGAAGAAGCACCGGCUAACUCCGUGCCAGCAGCCGCGGUAAUACGGAGGGUGCGAGCGUUAAUCGGAAUUACUGGGCGUAAAGCGUACGCAGGCGGUUUGUUAAGCGAGAUGUGAAAGCCCCGGGCUCAACCUGGGAACUGCAUUUCGAACUGGCAAACUAGAGUGUGAUAGAGGGUGGUAGAAUUUCAGGUGUAGCGGUGAAAUGCCGUAGAGAUCUGAAGGAAUACCAAUGGCGAAGGCAGCCACCUGGGUCAACACUGACGCUCAUGUACGAAAGCGUGGGGAGCAAACGGGGAUUAGAUACCCCGGGUAGUCCACGCCGUAAACGAUGUCUACUAGGAGCUGGGUUCUUCGGAGCACUUUUCCAAAGCUAACGCAUUAAGUAGACCGCCUGGGGAGUACGGCCGCAAGGUUAAAAACUCAAAUGAAUUGGCGGGGGCCCGCACAAGCGGUGGAGCAUGUGGUUUAAUUCGAUGCAACGCGAAGAACCUUACCUACACUUGACAUACAGAGAAGCGACCAGAGAUGGACGUGUGCCUUCGGGAACUUUGAUACAGGUGCUGCAUGGCUGUCGUCAGCUCGUGUUGUGAGAUGUUGGGUUAAGUCCCGCAACGAGCGCAACCCUUAUCCUUAUUUGCCAGCACGUUAUGGUGGGAACUCUAAGGAGACUGCCGGUGAUAAACCGGAGGAAGGUGGGGACGACGUCAAGUCAUCAUGGCCCUUACGUGUAGGGCUACACACGUGCUACAAUGGCGCAUACAAAGGGCAGCAAACCAGCGAUGGUAAGCGAAUCUCAUAAAGUGCGUCGUAGUUCGGAUUGGGGUCUGCAACUCGACCCCAUGAAGUCGGAAUCGCUAGUAAUCGUGGAUCAGAAUGCCGCGGUGAAUACGUUCCCGGGCCUUGUACACACCGCCCGUCACACCAUGGGAGUGGGUUGCACCAGAAGUAGCUAGCUUAACCUUCGGGAGGGCGGUUACCACGGUGUGAUUCAUGACUGGGGUGAAGUCGUA
Molecule: ribosomal RNA, 1425 nt
Filed under: uncultured bacterium
Lineage: Bacteria
Description: bacterial SSU rRNA
Rfam family: Bacterial small subunit ribosomal RNA
Source: RNAcentral